GAUGAACGCUAGCUACAGGCUUAACACAUGCAAGUCGAGGGGAAACGACAUCGAAAGCUUGCUUUUGAUGGGCGUCGACCGGCGCACGGGUGAGUAACGCGUAUCCAACCUGCCCAUCACUUGGGAAUAACCUUGCGAAAGUAAGACUAAUACCCAAUGACAUCCCACGAAGACAUCUGAAUGGGAUUAAAGAUUUAUCGGUGAUGGAUGGGGAUGCGUCUGAUUAGCUUGUUGGCGGGGUAACGGCCCACCAAGGCAACGAUCAGUAGGGGUUCUGAGAGGAAGGUCCCCCACAUUGGAACUGAGACACGGUCCAAACUCCUACGGGAGGCAGCAGUGAGGAAUAUUGGUCAAUGGGCGAGAGCCUGAACCAGCCAAGUAGCGUGCAGGAUGACGGCCCUAUGGGUUGUAAACUGCUUUUAUAAGGGAAUAAAGUGGGUCUCGUGAGACUUUUUGCAUGUACCUUAGGAAUAAGGACCGGCUAAUUCCGU
This 491-nucleotide ribosomal RNA is filed under the name uncultured bacterium. RNAcentral's name for it is "partial 16S ribosomal RNA". It matches the Rfam family "Bacterial small subunit ribosomal RNA", at positions 28 to 506 of the family's 1533-position model. The record is from RNAcentral.